AAUAGAUACCCUGGUAGUCCACCCCGUAAACGUUGGGAACUAGUUGUGGGGUCCAUUCCACGGAUUCCGUGACGCAGCUAACGCAUUAAGUUCCCCGCCUGGGGAGUACGGCCGCAAGGCUAAAACUCAAAGGAAUUGACGGGGACCCGCACAAGCGGCGGAGCAUGCGGAUUAAUUCGAUGCAACGCGAAGAACCUUACCAAGGCUUGACAUAUACGAGAACGGGCCGGAAAUGGUCAACUCUUUGGACACUCGUAAACAGGUGGUGCAUGGUUGUCGUCAGCUCGUGUCGUGAGAUGUUGGGUUAAGUCCCGCAACGAGCGCAACCCUCGUUCUAUGUUGCCAGCACGUAAUGGUGGGAACUCAUGGGAUACUGCCGGGGUCAACUCGGAGGAAGGUGGGGAUGACGUCAAAUCAUCAUGCCCCUUAUGUCUUGGGCUUCACGCAUGCUACAAUGGCCGGUACAAAGGGCUGCAAUACCGCGAGGUGGAGCGAAUCCCAAAAAGCCGGUCCAGUUCGGAUUGAGGUCUGCAACUCGACCUCA
RNAcentral lists this ribosomal RNA (544 nucleotides) under uncultured bacterium. Its description in RNAcentral is "bacterial SSU rRNA". It matches the Rfam family "Bacterial small subunit ribosomal RNA", at positions 777 to 1320 of the family's 1533-position model. The record is from RNAcentral.